RNAcentral lists this ribosomal RNA (253 nucleotides) under bacterium. Its description in RNAcentral is "partial 16S ribosomal RNA". It matches the Rfam family "Bacterial small subunit ribosomal RNA", at positions 524 to 776 of the family's 1533-position model. The record is from RNAcentral. RNAcentral also lists the same sequence under 2 other names.
UACGUAGGGUCCGAGCGUUGUCCGGAAUUAUUGGGCGUAAAGGGCUCGUAGGCGGUCUGUCGCGUCGGGAGUGAAAACUCAGGGCUCAACCCUGAGCGUGCUUCCGAUACGGGCAGACUAGAGGUAUGCAGGGGAGAACGGAAUUCCUGGUGUAGCGGUGGAAUGCGCAGAUAUCAGGAGGAACACCGGUGGCGAAGGCGGUUCUCUGGGCAUUACCUGACGCUGAGGAGCGAAAGCAUGGGGAGCGAACAGG